AACGAACGCUGGCGGCAUGCCUAACACAUGCAAGUCGAACGAGACCUUCGGGUCUAGUGGCGCACGGGUGCGUAACGCGUGGGAACCUUCCCUUAGGUUCGGAAUAACUCCCCGACAGGGGUGCUAAUACCGGAUAAUGUCUUCGGACCAAAGAUUUAUCGCCUUUGGAUGGGCCCGAGUUGGAUUAGCUAGUUGGUAGGGUAAUAGCCUACCAAGGCGACGAUCCAUAGCUGGUCUGAGAGGACGAUCAGCCACACUGGGACUGAGACACGGCCCAGACUCCUACGGGAGGCAGCAGGGGGGAAGAUGGGACACUGCGCGAGAGACUGAGCCAGCAAGGCCGCGUGAGUGAUGAAGGCCUUAGGAUUGUAAAGCUCUUUUACCCGGGAUGAUAAUAACAGAACCGGGAGAAUAAGCUCCGGCAAACUCCGU
This 432-nucleotide ribosomal RNA is filed under the name uncultured bacterium. RNAcentral describes it as "partial 16S ribosomal RNA". It matches the Rfam family "Bacterial small subunit ribosomal RNA", at positions 29 to 506 of the family's 1533-position model. The record is from RNAcentral.